Molecule: ribosomal RNA, 458 nt
Filed under: uncultured bacterium
Lineage: Bacteria
Description: partial 16S ribosomal RNA
Rfam family: Bacterial small subunit ribosomal RNA
Source: RNAcentral
CCUACGGGUGGCAGCAGUGAGGAAUAUUGGUCAAUGGGCGAGAGCCUGAACCAGCCAAGUCGCGUGAGGGAGUACUGCCCUAUGGGUUGUAAACCUCUUUUGUCGGGGAGCAAAAGCCGGACGUGUCCGGCUGUGAGAGUACCCGAAGAAAAAGCAGCGGCGAACUCCGUGCCAGCAGCCGCGGUAAUACGGAGGAUGCGAGCGUUAGCCGGAUUUAUUGGGUUUAAAGGGUGCGCAGGCGGAUUUUUAAGUCAGCGGUAAAAUCGUGGGGCUCAACCCCAUCCAGCCGUUGAAACUGGGGAUCUAGAGUGUGCGAGAGGUAUGCGGAAUGCGUGGUGUAGCGGUGAAAUGCAUAGAUAUCACGCAGAACCCCGAUUGCGAAGGCAGCAUACCGGUGCACAACUGACGCUCAGGCACGAAAGCGUGGGUAUCGAACAGGAUUAGAUACCCGAGUAGUC